CCUACGGGAGGCAGCAGUAGGGAAUAUUGCUCAAUGGGCGAAACCCUGAAGCAGCGACGCCGCGUGAGGGAUGAAGGUCUUCGGAUUGUAAACCCCUUUUGUUAGGGAAGAUAAUGACGGUAUCUAACGAGUAAGCACUGGCUAACUCCGGGCCAGCAGCCGCGGGAAUACGGAGGGCGCAAGCGUUAGUCGGAAUGACUGGGCGUAAAGAGCGCGUAGGCUGGAUAGCAAGUCAGAUGUGAAAUCCUAUUGCUUAACCAUAGAACUGCAUUUGAAACUGUUAUUCUAGAGUGUGUGAGAGGUAGGUGGAAUUCUUGGUGUAGGGGUAAAAUCCGUAGAGAUCAAGAGGAAUACUCAUUGCGAAGGCGACCUGCUAGAACAUAACUGACGCUGAUGCGCGAAAGCGUGGGGAGCAAACAGGAUUAGAUACCCUGGUAGUC
RNAcentral lists this ribosomal RNA (440 nucleotides) under uncultured bacterium. Its description in RNAcentral is "partial 16S ribosomal RNA". It matches the Rfam family "Bacterial small subunit ribosomal RNA", at positions 338 to 795 of the family's 1533-position model. The record is from RNAcentral.